UUGGUCUGAGAAAAAAGAUGAAAGGUGUAAAAGAAGAGUGAGGACACUCAAUUUGGGACUUUGGAGGGCUGCGUGUUCACCUGGCGAGCUAGUAACCCGAGCUCUGCUCGAUUCUCCUUCAUCUGGGUUACGAUAAAGCGGUACUUUGACCUGAAAAGGUACGCAACCAUGUUAAAGCUUUACCUUUAAAGAAUGGUAUAACUUCGUUCAUUUAACAUAUACAUCUGUCAAUUUGCCUACCUCAGUUUCGGUCUUCGCUGGUCCGAUAUUCUCAUAAACAUCCGUCAAUUUGGCAUGAUGGUCUCCAGAGCCUUCCUCUUGAUCAUGGCUAAUCUGCAAUUCAAGGACUGCUGGUUCAGUUGAUUGGGGGCAUCACGUUGUUUCAAAUUGACAAUCUGGAAAAGGGAUUAAUGGAUCUACAUCGUGUGAUGAUAUCAAAAUUUAUAAAUUUUCAUAAGAAAAUAAUGGUUGAAGUUGUAUACACAAUCCAUGUCCAAACAUCAUCUAUUGAUGGAGUAUUUUUCCAGUCCAUGUAAAAACAUUUGUCAAGAAACUUGGGUCACUGGGGACACGUCUUAUGACGUGAUUGAACAUACCUCCGUUGACGUCGGAGUACAACUUACCCCAAUUUCGAUAGGUCCAUCCAUAAUAAUCA
Molecule: long non-coding RNA, 655 nt
Filed under: Triticum aestivum (bread wheat)
Lineage: Eukaryota; Viridiplantae; Streptophyta; Magnoliopsida; Poales; Poaceae
Description: long non-coding RNA (TAES_LNC012610)
Source: RNAcentral